AGCAGCCGCGGUAAUUCCAGCUCCUUUAGCGUAUAUUAAAGUUGUUGCAGUUAAAAAGCUCGUAGUUGAAUUUCGGGAUCAGCAGGUUGGUCGUGCCUCUGGUACGCACUGGUUUCGCUGAUUCCUCCUUUCUGAAGAACUGUAAUGUCAUUAAUUUGGUGUUGCAGGGAAACAGGACUGUUACUUUGAAAAAAUUAGAGUGUUUAAAGCAGGCUAACGCUUGAAUACAUUAGCAUGGAAUAAUGAAAUAGGACGUUUGAUCCUAUUUUGUUGGUUUCUAGGAUUGACGUAAUGAUUAAUAGGGAUAGUUGGGGGCAUUAGUAUUCAAUUGUCAGAGGUGAAAUUCUUGGAUUUAUUGAAGACUAACUACUGCGAAAGCAUUUGCCAAGGAUGUUUUCAUUAAUCAAGAACGAAAGUUAGGGGAUCGAAGACGAUCAGAUACCGUCGUAGUCUUAACCAUAAACUAUGCCGACUAGGGAUCGGAUGAUGUUAAUUUUUUAAUGACUCA
Molecule: ribosomal RNA, 508 nt
Filed under: uncultured fungus
Lineage: Eukaryota; Fungi
Description: SSU rRNA
Rfam family: Eukaryotic small subunit ribosomal RNA
Source: RNAcentral